Molecule: long non-coding RNA, 5489 nt
Organism: Vicia villosa (hairy vetch)
Lineage: Eukaryota; Viridiplantae; Streptophyta; Magnoliopsida; Fabales; Fabaceae
Exons: 9
Source: RefSeq, a predicted model, not a curated record
CAGGAGAGAUAAAGUACGAGAAUGGUAUAACAUGGUAUAUCUUGCCAUCAUUUCAGUAUUUGGAUGGGCUUAUAGCUUGCCACUUACAUGCAGCAUUCAGGAUUUUGCGUAUCUUUAUGAUCCAAACAAUGAGAUUGCUGGAGCGUGAAGCUGAAUCUUCUUCCAUCAUCACCAAUGCAAUCUAAUUGAUUCUGCCUUAAUUUCAUUCUCUUUAAGUACCUUUUCAUUCAAUUUUCAAUCAUGACUUUCAAUCAUCGGUUGAUUUCAUUUUAUGCAGGAGGCUCUCAGGAUAUGAAGUGUGUUGGAAUACAGUAUCUUGAAGUUGUUCGUAAGCUUAAGGAAUGGGGGUUUCAACCUAAAAGGAGUAUUCAUUUGGCUUUUGCUCCUAAUGAGGAGAUUGGUGGACAUGAUGAUUCUGAGAAGUUCUCUCUUUUUGGAGUUUUUCAGGAUUUCAAUGGCUUCCUUCUCCGGACGACCAUUAUAGGGCAUUCUAUGCAGAGAGGAGUCCGUGUGGUUGGUGAUCAAGGCUGUUGGGAUUCCUGGACAUGGAGCCAAACUUUAUGAUAACUCUGCUAUGGAGAAUCUUUUGAAGAGUAUUGAGACCAUCCAAAGGUGUAUCAUGCCUCGCAGUUCGACUUGAUAAACACCGGCUUGAAGGCUCUUGGUCGGGGAAGUAUUUUCUAUUAACCCGGUCUUUUUGAAAGCUGGAACUCCAUCACCAAUAAGGAGUCUGCCCGCCAACUAUGUUAUGCUUUUGAAAUGGAAGCGUCUGCACUCCUUCUCCGGCGAACUAUUCGCCUUUUCUGUUCCGAUUCAUCUCAAGAACAAGCAGAAAGAAGAGAUUUUCAAGAAAAUGGAAGAGGAGAAAUCCAGAAAGCGUCCCAAAUCCGGGUGGAUAUCGAUAGAAUCGUCACCGAUACAAUAGAAGUUAAGUUGAUUUUUCAUAAAUUUCUUAAUUUACAAUAUCUUUCUCUCAUUUGUUGCUAUGUUGAUUCAUUGAAUCAAUUCAUUUGUUGCUAUGUUUUCUAUAUUUGUUACAUUUUGAUUUCAUUUGCUGAUUCAGGUAUACGCCCGUACCAAUUUUAUUGUUUAAUCAUUGUUGAACAUGUUAGCUGUGAUUUUAAUCUAACUGUUUGUGUAAUUUUGCUCUAUCAAUAAUCGUAUCAUUGAGAAACUUUUCUUUGAUUAAUUAUUUGGUUUAUCAGUGCCUAAUAACUUGGUAUUGGUAUCCAUAUUUUUUCAGGUUUUCACUUGGUAGUUUAAUGAAAAUAUUAUUUACCUCUGUUUUGUUCAUUGAUGGAAUUUCUCACAGUUUGUGGUGGUCUUCCUCUUGACGAUGGAGAAAUCUGGCUGCGUUUUUUGGUGAAUGGAGUUCAGCGCGACUACGAACGAAAUUGAAGGGCAAAGGUGCAUGGGAUACUCUCUCAAAUGGAUCCAACAGUGGUUGUAUUUUGUGACAAGAUUGCAAGCCAGGGUGGCUCAGUUCAGAUAUUGGUUCUGCUUUAUAUGACUGGUCAUGCUUAUGAGCCUAAUGGGGUUGUAAUUUAUGAUGAGUAAUUUAUGAUGAUUUUGAUUUUGUCUAGGUUUUACUGAUUCAUAGAUCUGAUUUUUUAAAAUAUGAUUUUGUUUAGUUAUGUGUGAAUUUGCUGCUAUUGACUGGUAUUAAAAUAAGGCUUUAGUGUUAUCGAUUAUUAGUAGUAUGCGAUUGUCGACAGGAAUAAGAGGUAUGUUAUCAAAUAAUGCACAUUUGCUUGAUUACUAAUUAGUAUAUGAUGUAUUAUUUCUGCUGUAUUUCAAUUCAAAUGUACUCUUUUAUUUCAUGGUUUUGGAAACAAAUUAUAUAGAUGGAUCUGAAUAGAGAGGAUGAGAGAGCCAGAAUAUUUUUAAUGCGUACGUGUGAGUCAAUUUCUCAUUAAUAACAUAUAUUCCUCUCUUAAAGUGUCAAUCACUGGAGAGCCAUGCAGCUUCCGCCCCACAUUUAGAAAUCUGAUCUAAUAUUUCACUUCUUUUCCUUCUCCUCUCAUAGACUUGAGUAUUAUGAGCUUUGGAGUCUGGUCCGUAACAUAGUCAAUCAUAGAAAUGGUAUAGGUGACGUUUGAAUAACGUAGCACGAAGGGAAUCAUAUGGGGAUGGUCCAAACUCCAACUUGAGAGCUCUGGUGAAUGCAUUCCAUGUGGACUGCAGGAAUUGUUGGGGGAUGUGUGUAUCAGGAGUAGAAUAAUAGUCAAGAUAUGCUCAACUUUGAAGAGCCAAUGUAAAAUAUCAGUCCUAUAGUUUCUAAUUUAUUAUAUUGGCGGUUAUAAUUUUGAUUUCGAUUUUGUAGAGUUCUGGUAAAUCAACAGUUCCCGAAGACCUUCAACUUUCGUCAACGUUUUGCUCUCGGCAACAUCAGUGCUGGUAAAUCCUAAUUGGACAUCGAGUUUUGGAAGUGGUUCAUUCCUCAUCCUCAUAUUUCAAACUUGCAUUAUGAGCCUAAAUGACAAUUUUCCAGACCAAUGCAAGGAUCAAUCUCAAGCAGAUUGUGAAAGCAUAGUAUAUUCAUAAAGAAAUACAAACAACAUCUGAGUUAUUCAAUAUAUACUAAAUAAAUUGAAUUUCUACCUGUAUGACCAGGGAGGGCUUAAGGAAAUGGUUUCUUUCUAUUGAAAUGGUUUGUUAGCCUACAUAAUCCUCAAAUCAAGGAAGUCUCUUCAUUGGUUUUUGUUCAAACCUGCUGACAGUUAUUCCUUUCCAUUGAAAGAUAAGUUCAAUUAUCCUUUCUUGAUAACUCUAUGUGAUUCACAAGGUGAAAUCAUUCAUGAGUAUAAAUAAUUGGUUUUACUGCCAAUUAGGAAAGUUCUAUAUACUUUAGCAAUGAUUCUCUGUAUAAAGGGUGGCCAAAAUUAUAUAUUACAGUGUAUUUAGCAAUUAUGAAUUGAUGCAGUAAUUUUCUUAAUAUUGCAAUGGAGUUGCAGGUUCUAAAAUGGAUGAAUGGAAAAAUGCAGUGUCGUUUGAUUAGCCUGUAGGAUGUUGGAGCACUAAUCCAUGCAUUUGGGUUUACAUUAAAACGGACUACUGAUGCACCAAAAUAGUAUAUCGAGCUAUGAUUUGAUCCGAGUAAAUCCGUUCACUGGAACUUAAAUGCUUGUGAUCCUUCCCGUUGCGGCACGGUACGAAUCGAUGGGGAGUAAGUUGUAUUCUUCCAGUACUAUCAUCAAUUUCCAAACGGCUUGAUUGACUUAACGGCAUUAGAUAUUAUGUUGAAUUAUUAAAUUCCAUGAUUAUCACACCAUAUAUUAAGUAGUUGAUUAGAUGAAGUUUUACUAUUUCAUUUCUAUUCUCCAAGGUAAGGAUAUAUGAUUGUCGGUAUUCUUCUAAAUGCUGACAAUGAAUAUUCACGUAAUCCUUCUAAUGCCAAAAUGAAUUCCGUCCAUUUUACGGUGCACUAUUUUUCAUAAUAUUCUUUGAACAUCAUGUUUACAGGGUGGUAUUCAUAUAUUCAUAUAUUCAUAUUCUUGGUAAUGAGUUUAGUACCUAAAGGUUAAAACAAGAGCAUGUAUCUCCAAAUUUAGCCAAAAAUAAAUGUGAGCCUUUAAGCUACUGAGGGGGUGAUAUUCCAUCUUGGCAUAAAGGAUUGUCCAUGCGCCUUUAAGCUACUAAGGGGGUGAUAUUCCUUCUUGGCAUAAAGGAUUGUCCAUGCGAAGACUGUUUGAAAUUUAUGUUGACAUGUGAUGAUUGACUUAUGUUGGUUUAAUGUGUGUGUGUAAACUAUGUGUUUAUUAUACAGGUUGUUGGCUAUACCGAAGAAAGCAUCUACUAUAACACUAGCACUUUCGAAUAGCGUUUCUGUUUGGGUCGAGUAUUGGCUUUUUACAUCUGUGUUUAACGGGAUAUCGAAUUUGCGUCAAAGUAGCCAGAGAAGAAGUGGAUUGAUGGGGGUGUUCCUCUGGACGCAGUGUCAUCCAAACUUUCUAGACUUGCAAAGGUGCAGGGGAGACAUUUCAAUUUAUGGUUUAAACAAAGUAGUUCAUCAAUCAAUAGUCUAUUGAUAAUUUUUCAAGCUUUUUAUGAUUCAACAGAAAUAAUGUUUUGAAAUCCAUAGACCCAUUUAUAACCAUUUUAAAUAUUUUGAAAUAAUAUUUAGUUAUUUAUUAUAUCUUUAGAAGAUUUAACAUAAGAGAACUUUGAGAAGUUGUGGUGCAUGUUGUACCCUGUAGUGUGUGUAAUAUCCAGGGACUGGGUAAACCCUAUAUGGAAUUCCUUUUCACCUAAAUGGAUUGAAGGGUUCAUCACCAAAGAGAAUGCAGAAGCUUCACUUCAAGGUCCAGCAGGAUUUCAAGAACCUGGUACUUUUAUAUUGCGGGGUCCAACCUCAAGAAGCUGGCCUCACCCAGAUGUUGGUAGCCUGACUAUUACUUAUGUUAGCAGUGACUACAAACUUUGCCACAAACUACUUUCAAUGGAUCAUAUUUAUAGGUAAGGUUUUCAUCUUUUUUAUUGAAUCCAUUGGUUGGAUUUUCCUUAGUCAUGAGCAUAUCAUUCUCGGGUGGAGUUGAUGAUCUGUCCACGAGACUUAUGUCUUCUUUCAUGUAUCAUGUAUCAUGCAUUUCUGAUAUGUCAUAGAUGGAGAGUGUAUAAAUAUAAAUAAAUGAUGCCUUUAGAGAUUGAACUCUAGACCAACAAUUUAUAUGUUAGAUCAAACUGUUUUUCCUUAACUAAAAUAUUAAUCAUAUUUGUUGUUUCCAUAGCUCCGAUAAAACUGGCGUGAAACCAUUGCAAGAUAUGCUACUGGCAGACCCUGAGCUGACUCGGUUGGGAAGAUAAUUUGCAAAGCAAAUUUAUUGUUGUUUCUUAUAUGCAUUAAACUAAAUGCGUAACAUUUCAUUACUAUUAAUUGUUUUUUCCAUCAUUGGCAAUUAAUUCUUCAGGGCAAUGAGAAGGUAUCAAGCACGCUGAUGUUAUGGUAGAUUGUCAUUAAAUAUCCAGUCAAAGUUGUUUUUCAAGGUUCUAUUGCAAUUAUUGACUCAAAAAGGAGGAUAUAUGUAAAAAAUACUUUAGUAGUUAUAGAACAUAAAAUGUUAGCAUAUAAAGUUGAAAUAUUGAUAUUAAUAUUUUUAUAACUUUACCCAUUUUAACCAAAAUUUAGUCUUUUACUAAUACUUUGUAUUUUUCUCAAUCACAAUGCGCGAAAACGACGGGUACCCGUGCGAACGCACGGGUAAGACACUAGUUUCUAACUAAAAUGUUAUUCGAAACAAUUUAAAUAUUACUCGUACGAGACUUAUGCACAAUGCACAAGGAUAUACCUUAUGCACAUCAACCUGACUCUUAAAUCACCUAUUUAAUAUUAUAAAUAGUAAGCGGUAUCUAGCAACACAUCACUGCUACCCAAGUGACGAGAAUGUCGUGUGAUCUGACAUAACCUUUCCGUGAUAAUGAUUAUGUGUAAAAUUACCUUUUACCCCUAAUAUCUAUAUUGAACACAAGGCAUAUAAUGUUUCACCCUUGUA